This is a long non-coding RNA of Triticum dicoccoides, 509 nucleotides long. RefSeq lists it as uncharacterized. The record is from RefSeq and is a predicted model, not a curated record. NCBI's taxonomy places the organism in Eukaryota, Viridiplantae, Streptophyta, Magnoliopsida, Poales, Poaceae. The transcript is spliced from 3 exons.
AAAUUGACCAGACCACCAGUCUGUCACUCGCUUCUCACUGCUGCCAACCGCUGGUCGCCGGUCUUGCCAACUCUCGCCGCCCUCUGCAGUGAGGGCCCUCCAGGCCUCCACGCCAGGUGCCGGGUGUUGGCUGCUGGUGCUUCUCCUUCUCUCACUGCUUCUCCGCUCACGCUGCAUGCUGCCGUGCAGUGGACCGCUGAUGCUGCCGCCGGCUGGUAAACUAAACAGUGAACUGUUGUUGAAGCGUCGAAGGAGCAAGACUGCUGCAAGAGCAAAGGUAACAACCAUGGUCUAGGAGAGCAUAUCUGUAGUUAUUGGUUGUAGGCAUCUUUUGGUCAGUCCGGUGUGUUCUACAGUUGUGGCUAUGGAGCACUUUUGGCCAGUUCGGUGUAUUCUACAGUUGUGGUUAUGGAGCACUGGAUAACAGUAGUAAUUAUCCACAAGACCAGGGACGAGCGAAAACAAUUACAUCCUAGUCCGGAAUGCACUUUCUACCAGUUCAUCCAUGG